CAAUCCUGCUUGGAAGUGGAGCAGGUGCUGCACGCUGUUCUCCCCUUUGCGAUGUUGGCCCACAGCGAGAGCAGCAGGAUCACAGAGAACAGCACCAUCGCCUGGUUACUGCUGGUAAUGCGCCUCUUAUGCAGCCUACGAGAGGGAUUGUAAAAAACACACACCGCUAGUCUUGCUCACUCUUGGCUAGCGCAGACUGGCAUUUAUAGACCAUAAAAUGGCCGAAGUUAAUAGCUUGGCUUGUGUUUGGAUUUGAUUUGUGGGGGUGCAAUGAAAUGUGCUCUCAAAAUUGAACCCAGCAAACAUCCACAUAAGGAAUGCUUAGAUUACCUACCUCUCACAGAUAUGUUCUAUUAUGCACGAUGAGGAAGGAACACGGAUGAGGCCUGGCCUGACCUGACCUCCCAGUACCCUCCCUCUACAUCAGUCAGUUCAGCCGUCGACACGGAGGACAGUCCCUCUACUCGUCUAGAUCAUUGUUUUCUCAUGAAGCGGGGCUUAAUAUGUUUUGGAAAUCCUUCAUGAUUGUAAACAGAUCACAUCAUUUGGCCUGACACCAUGCCACUGCUGCCACUAAUGCCAUGCUGUUUUGGAUUGCUGCUUACGUAACACGGGUCUCAUUCCAGCUGGAGACUUGUAUAGGGAGUGGCUGAUGUGGACUUUUGUUAAAUAAAAAAUAAAAAAAGUGAAGCAUUAGAGGCCGGCGCUGUGCUCGGACGGUUUGCUUGGUUUUUUUUUCCAAAGUGGUGUUACGCAAGCAUCCCUGUGCCUGUGUGGUGAGUCUGGCUGUGACAGUAAACCUUGACAAGCCCUCUGGAUGCAUCGCUUCAACGAGGAGGAGAGAGAGAGAGACAGAGAGGGAGAAGGAGAGAGAGAGAGAGAGAAUAGGAGAAGGAGAGAGGAUGGCGUGAUAAAGAGAGGAAGGGAGGGGGAGAAAAGAAAA
Molecule: long non-coding RNA, 943 nt
Organism: Clupea harengus (Atlantic herring)
Lineage: Eukaryota; Metazoa; Chordata; Actinopteri; Clupeiformes; Clupeidae
Exons: 2
Source: RefSeq, a predicted model, not a curated record